Triticum aestivum (bread wheat) is the source of this 617-nucleotide long non-coding RNA. RefSeq lists it as uncharacterized. The transcript has 3 exons. The record is from RefSeq and is a predicted model, not a curated record. NCBI's taxonomy places the organism in Eukaryota, Viridiplantae, Streptophyta, Magnoliopsida, Poales, Poaceae.
GCUCGGUCGCGGUUCCCUUUCCCCUACCCUCCUCCCUCCGCGGCGAUUUCCCUCCCGUGGCGGUUGCCCCGGGAAGGGAUCGGGAGGCAGAUGAGCAGCUGUUGAAGAAGAAGAAGCCGGAGCCGGAGCAGCCGCAGCCGCAGUCGGCUGCGGAGGAGGCGGUGGGCGUCAAUCCUCUCAACCCGAGGUACAGCGAGUACGACCCCAAGCAGAGGGAGCACGUGUAGACCCGCUUCUGCUUCGAUCCCAGACUCGACCUCGACAAGGAGUCCCCUUAUGGUCCAAUGCGCCAUACUCACAAAACCUUCGGAGAGGGAUUCCCAUUGUAUCACUCAGCAAAUAUUCUCUCAGUCAAGAUUGUUGCUUCUGACUAUGGCUACCCACUUGAUAUCUAUGGCACGGUAAUAGCCAGGGAAGAUUUGGAUCGCAAAUGUGUCUAUUUAUUCCGGCGCGACAAGGACAAUCACCCGUUCGAUCAUCACCUCGGAGGACAAUUCGUUGAUUUUGACUGGUCCAAAGAGAGGACUUGCGCUCUGCGGUUCGCUGUUUUUUGAAAUCAAUCUGAAGGUUAAGGAUGUGCAUGGGAGGGAGGUCAAGGAUGAAAGACUCAGCAAAGG